GGCAGACGGGUGAGUAACACGUGGGUAACCUGCCCCUGAGUGGGGAAUAACCCAGGGAAACUUGGGCUAAUACCGCAUAACAUCGCUUUCUCUCUGGGGAGAGCGAUUAAAGGUGGGGAUCGAAAGACCUACCGCUUAGGGAGGGGCCCGCGUCUGAUUAGCUUGUUGGUGGGGUAAAGGCCUACCAAGGCUUCGAUCGGUAGCCGGCCUGAGAGGGUGAUCGGCCACACUGGAACUGAGACACGGUCCAG
This 251-nucleotide ribosomal RNA is filed under the name uncultured bacterium. Its description in RNAcentral is "partial 16S ribosomal RNA". It matches the Rfam family "Bacterial small subunit ribosomal RNA", at positions 97 to 334 of the family's 1533-position model. The record is from RNAcentral.